GUCGAACGAACUCUGGGUAUUGAUUGGUGCUUGCAUCAUGAUUUACAUUUGAGUGAGUGGCGAACUGGUGAGUAACACGUGGGAAACCUGCCCAGAAGCGGGGGAUAACACCUGGAAACAGAUGCUAAUACCGCAUAACAACUUGGACCGCAUGGUCCGAGCUUGAAAGAUGGCUUCGGCUAUCACUUUUGGAUGGUCCCGCGGCGUAUUAGCUAGAUGGUGGGGUAACGGCUCACCAUGGCAAUGAUACGUAGCCGACCUGAGAGGGUAAUCGGCCACAUUGGGACUGAGACACGGCCCAAACUCCUACGGGAGGCAGCAGUAGGGAAUCUUCCACAAUGGACGAAAGUCUGAUGGAGCAACGCCGCGUGAGUGAAGAAGGGUUUCGGCUCGUAAAACUCUGUUGUUAAAGAAGAACAUAUCUGAGAGUAACUGUUCAGGUAUUGACGGUAUUUAACCAGAAAGCCACGGCUAACUACGUGCCAGCAGCCGCGGUAAUACGUAGGUGGCAAGCGUUGUCCGGAUUUAUUGGGCGUAAAGCGAGCGCAGGCGGUUUUUUAAGUCUGAUGUGAAAGCCUUCGGCUCAACCGAAGAAGUGCAUCGGAAACUGGGAAACUUGAGUGCAGAAGAGGACAGUGGAACUCCAUGUGUAGCGGUGAAAUGCGUAGAUAUAUGGAAGAACACCAGUGGCGAAGGCGGCUGUCUGGUCUGUAACUGACGCUGAGGCUCGAAAGUAUGGGUAGCAAACAGGAUUAGAUACCCUGGUAGUCCAUACCGUAAACGAUGAAUGCUAAGUGUUGGAGGGUUUCCGCCCUUCAGUGCUGCAGCUAACGCAUUAAGCAUUCCGCCUGGGGAGUACGGCCGCAAGGCUGAAACUCAAAGGAAUUGACGGGGGCCCGCACAAGCGGUGGAGCAUGUGGUUUAAUUCGAAGCUACGCGAAGAACCUUACCAGGUCUUGACAUACUAUGCAAAUCUAAGAGAUUAGACGUUCCCUUCGGGGACAUGGAUACAGGUGGUGCAUGGUUGUCGUCAGCUCGUGUCGUGAGAUGUUGGGUUAAGUCCCGCAACGAGCGCAACCCUUAUUAUCAGUUGCCAGCAUUAAGUUGGGCACUCUGGUGAGACUGCCGGUGACAAACCGGAGGAAGGUGGGGAUGACGUCAAAUCAUCAUGCCCCUUAUGACCUGGGCUACACACGUGCUACAAUGGAUGGUACAACGAGUUGCGAACUCGCGAGAGUAAGCUAAUCUCUUAAAGCCAUUCUCAGUUCGGAUUGUAGGCUGCAACUCGCCUACAUGAAGUCGGAAUCGCUAGUAAUCGCGGAUCAGCAUGCCGCGGUGAAUACGUUCCCGGGCCUUGUACACACCGCCCGUCACACCAUGAGAGUUUGUAACACCCAAAGUCGGUGGGGUAACCUUUUAGGAACCA
RNAcentral lists this ribosomal RNA (1426 nucleotides) under Lactiplantibacillus plantarum. RNAcentral describes it as "bacterial SSU rRNA". It matches the Rfam family "Bacterial small subunit ribosomal RNA". Lineage: Bacteria; Bacillati; Bacillota; Bacilli; Lactobacillales; Lactobacillaceae. The record is from RNAcentral.